This 254-nucleotide ribosomal RNA is filed under the name uncultured bacterium. RNAcentral's name for it is "partial 16S ribosomal RNA". It matches the Rfam family "Bacterial small subunit ribosomal RNA", at positions 524 to 776 of the family's 1533-position model. The record is from RNAcentral.
UACGUGGGGUGCAAGCGUUAUCCGGAAUUAUUGGGCGUAAAGAGUUGCGUAGGCGGUUCGUAAAGUUUUUGGUGAAAGCCCCGGGCUCAACCUGGGAAUUGCAUUCGAUACUGGAUAGCUAGAGUUCGGCAGAGGGAAGCGGAAUUUCCGGUGUAGCGGUGAAAUGCGUAGAUAUCGGAAGGAACAUCAGUGGCGAAAGCGGCUUCCUGGACCAGAACUGACGAUCAGGCACGAAAGCGUGGGGAGCAAACAGG